GCGGGAGGGGGAGAGAAAAAGUUGAUAACGCUGGCGGCGUGCUUACCCAUGCAUGUCGAACGAUUAAGCCCUUCGGGGGUGUAUAGAGUGGCGAACGGGUAUACACGUGGGUAACCUGCCCCUGACUCUGGGAUAACUCCGGGAAACCUGGUGCUAAUACCUGGAUACUCCGAGCGGAUCGCAUGGUCUGCUUGGGAAAGCUCCGACGGUCAGGGAUGGACCCCGCGGCUGAUUAGCUAGUUGGUGAGGUAACGGCUCACCAAGGCGACGAUCAGUAGCCGAGCUGAGAGGCUGAUCGGCCACACUGGGACUGAGACACGGCCCAGACUCCUACGGGAGGCAGCAGUGGGGAAUUUUGCGCCAUGGGCGAAAGCCUGACGCAGCAACGCCGCGUGGGGGAUGAAGGCCUUCGGGUCGUAAACCUCUUUCAGCAGGGACGAAACUGACUGUACCUGCAGAAGAAGCCCCGGCUAACUACGUGCCAGCAGCCGCGGUAAUACGUAAGGAGCAAGCGUUAUCCGGAUUCAUUGGGGCCUAAGAAACAAAGAAGGAAGAAAG
This 558-nucleotide ribosomal RNA is filed under the name uncultured Actinomycetes bacterium. RNAcentral describes it as "bacterial SSU rRNA". It matches the Rfam family "Bacterial small subunit ribosomal RNA", at positions 1 to 586 of the family's 1533-position model. Lineage: Bacteria; Bacillati; Actinomycetota; Actinomycetes. The record is from RNAcentral.